UUGUUUAUAUAUUUUAUGUAUGUAAAGACCGCGCUCUAGGGAGAGAUCGUCUGAUAGUAUACAAAUGGAAACCAAAUCGAUUACCCAAAAACAAUUGUAAGACAAAGCUCUUCCGUCAGCCCCUGCAAUGCCUCAGGCUUACCGAUAUGGAGGACAAGUUCCAAUGAAGUAAUAAGAAUGAUGGGCCAGGCAUGUACUUCCACACUAGACCCCCAGGCAGCAGAACAGCGGCGGUUGUAAGAGUCUGAGGUAGAUUUCCCAUUUCAGCGAGAGCUCUCCAAUUUGUAUUUUCUAUGAUACGAAGAAGCUAUCGCAAUUACUUCGACUAACACUGUUCUUUCUUGGGUAUCAGAAGCACAUUUUGAUUUCUCGACUCAAAAAAAUUGCAAUAAAAUAAAUCAAUCAACAAAUUUUCAACCUCAGUA
Molecule: long non-coding RNA, 425 nt
Organism: Drosophila pseudoobscura
Lineage: Eukaryota; Metazoa; Arthropoda; Insecta; Diptera; Drosophilidae
Exons: 3
Source: RefSeq, a predicted model, not a curated record